CCCCCGCCUUUAUCCAGACGCUAUGGCAGCUGGUAUUGCGUUCUUGGGCAGACCUACUCCAAAGCAAGCCCCAUUGAGUUCAGUGAGACUUACUCCUGGCAAAGUGCUGUUUAAAGGAACCUAUUUCCAGAACAGGCACGGGCAGCUGUAACCUUUAUCUCACUUGGAGCAGUUUCGUUUUACUGUGAAUCAAGCAAUUUAUAUAAAGGGCUGUCAUGUGGAAGACAGAACUAGCUUGUUUUCUCCUGCUCUGGAGGGCAGGACUUGAACCAAUGGCUUCGCCUUCAAAGUUACAAGAAAGGAGAUUCCAACUAAACAUCAGGAAGAACUUUCUGAAUAGUAAGAGCUGUCUGACAGUGGAACAGACUCCCUCAGGAGAUUGUGAUCUCUCCUUCCUUGGAAGUUUUUAAAAGCAGAGGUUAGAUGGCCAUCUGUCAUGGAAGCUUUGGUUGAGAUUCCUACAUUGGACUACAUGACUAGGGUCCCUUCCAACUUUACAAUAGGGCUAGACUUCUGUGUGGAAGGACUGUAAACUCAUUGUAGUUCUACUACUCAAAAACAAAUCCCUGAUCCAGGAAUUGUUAACUGUAUGUUCUUCACAACUGGCUCCGACUGUGGCACUCAGGGUUCCAGUAAAUAAAUGGAAUAGAUCCCACAA
Molecule: long non-coding RNA, 658 nt
Organism: Podarcis raffonei (Aeolian wall lizard)
Lineage: Eukaryota; Metazoa; Chordata; Lepidosauria; Squamata; Lacertidae
Exons: 2
Source: RefSeq, a predicted model, not a curated record